UACAGAGGGUGCAAGCGUUAAUCGGAGUUACUGGGCGUAAAGGGCGCGUAGGCGGUUUGUUAAGUGAGAUGUGAAAUCCCUGGGCUUAACCUAGGAACUGCAUCUUAUACUGGCAAACUGGAGUACUGUAGAGGGUAGUGGAAUUUCCGGUGUAGCGGUGAAAUGCGUAGAGAUCGGAAGGAACACCAGUGGCGAAGGCGGCUACCUGGACAGAUACUGACGCUGAGGCGCGAGAGCGUGGGGAGCAAACAGG
Molecule: ribosomal RNA, 253 nt
Filed under: uncultured bacterium
Lineage: Bacteria
Description: partial 16S ribosomal RNA
Rfam family: Bacterial small subunit ribosomal RNA
Source: RNAcentral